UCUUAAGAUUAUGCCAUGAAUAUCUAAGUAUAAGCAAUUAUACAGCGAAACUGCGAAUGGCUCAUUAAAUCAGUUAUCGUUUAUUUGAUAGUACCUUACUACAUGGAUAACCGUGGUAAUUCUAGAGCUAAUACAUGCUGAAAACCCCGACUUCGGAAGGGGUGUAUUUAUUAGAUUAAAAACCAAUGCCCUCCGGGGCUCACUGGUGAUUCAUGAUAACUUCUCGAAUCGCACGGCCUUGCGCCGGCGAUGGUUCAUUCAAAUUUCUGCCCUAUCAACUUUCGACGGCUGGGUCUUGGCCAGCCGUGGUGACAACGGGUAACGGAGGGUUAGGGCUCGACCCCGGAGAAAACGCCUGAGAAACGGCGUUUACAUCCAAGGAAGGCAGCAGGCGCGCAAAUUACCCAAUGCCGACACGGCGAGGUAGUGACGAGAAAUACUGAUACAGGGCUCUUUUGGGUCUUGUAAUUGGAAUGAGUACAAUUUAAAUCUCUUAACGAGGAACAAUUGGAGGGCAAGUCUGGUGCCAGCAGCCGCGGUAAUUCCAGCUCCAAUAGCGUAUAUUAAAGUUGUUGCAGUUAAAAAGCUCGUAGUUGAACCUUGGGCCUGGCUGGCCGGUCCGCCUCACCGCGUGCACUGGUCCGGCCGGGCCUUUCCCUCUGGGGAGCCCCAUGCCCUUUACUGGGCGUGGUGGGGAACCAGGACUUUUACUUUGAAAAAAUUAGAGUGUUCAAAGCAGGCCUAUGCUCGAAUACAUUAGCAUGGAAUAAUAGAAUAGGACGUGUGGUUCUAUUUUGUUGGUUUCUAGGACCGCCGUAAUGAUUAAUAGGGACAGUCGGGGGCGUCAGUAUUCAAUUGUCAGAGGUGAAAUUCUUGGAUUUAUUGAAGACUAACUACUGCGAAAGCAUUCGUCAAGGAUGUUUUCAUUAAUCAGGAACG
Molecule: ribosomal RNA, 939 nt
Filed under: Magnaporthiopsis cynodontis
Lineage: Eukaryota; Fungi; Ascomycota; Sordariomycetes; Magnaporthales; Magnaporthaceae
Description: SSU rRNA
Rfam family: Eukaryotic small subunit ribosomal RNA
Source: RNAcentral